RNAcentral lists this ribosomal RNA (232 nucleotides) under uncultured bacterium. RNAcentral describes it as "partial 16S ribosomal RNA". It matches the Rfam family "Bacterial small subunit ribosomal RNA", at positions 524 to 753 of the family's 1533-position model. The record is from RNAcentral.
UACGUAGGGUGCAAGCGUUAAUCGGAAUUACUGGGCGUAAAGCGUGCGCAGGCGGUUUUGUAAGUUUGUCGUGAAAUCCCCGGGCUCAACCUGGGAAUUGCGAUGAAGACUGCAAGGCUAGAAUCUGGCAGAGGGGGGUAGAAUUCCACGUGUGAGCAGUGAAAUGCGUAGAGAUGUGGAGGAACACCGAUGGCGAAGGCAGCCCCCUGGGUCGAAGAUUGACGCUCAUGCA